UACGUAGGGGGCUAGCGUUAUCCGGAAUUACUGGGCGUAAAGCGUGCGCAGGCGGUUUUGUAAGUCUGUCGUGAAAGCCCCGGGCUCAACCUGGGAAUUGAGAUGGAGACUGCAAGGCUUGAAUCUGGCAGAGGGGGGUAGAAUUCCACGUGUAGCAGUGAAAUGCGUAGAGAUGUGGAGGAACACCGAUGGCGAAGGCAGCCCCCUGGGUCAAGAUUGACGCUCAUGCACGAAAGCGUGGGGAGCAAACAGGAUUAGAUA
RNAcentral lists this ribosomal RNA (261 nucleotides) under uncultured prokaryote. RNAcentral describes it as "partial 16S ribosomal RNA". It matches the Rfam family "Bacterial small subunit ribosomal RNA", at positions 524 to 784 of the family's 1533-position model. The record is from RNAcentral.